UUACACCUAAAGCCUUCUUCACACACGCGGCAUGCUGGAUCAAGCUUGCGCCCAUUGUCCAUAUCCCUCACGGCUGCCUCCCUUAGAAUUCCCCCCGUGCCCCCCCCCCGCCCGCCCCGGGCGGCGGGGGGGGCGGCCGGCCGCGCGCGG
This 150-nucleotide ribosomal RNA is filed under the name uncultured Sphingomonas sp. RNAcentral describes it as "partial 16S ribosomal RNA". The record is from RNAcentral. Lineage: Bacteria; Pseudomonadati; Pseudomonadota; Alphaproteobacteria; Sphingomonadales; Sphingomonadaceae.